GAUGAACGCUGGCGGCGUGCCUAAUACAUGCAAGUCGAGCGAACGGACGAGAAGCUUGCUUCUCUGAUGUUAGCGGCGGACGGGUGAGUAACACGUGGAUAACCUACCUAUAAGACUGGGAUAACUUCGGGAAACCGGAGCUAAUACCGGAUAAUAUUUUGAACCGCAUGGUUCAAAAGUGAAAGACGGUCUUGCUGUCACUUAUAGAUGGAUCCGCGCUGCAUUAGCUAGUUGGUAAGGUAACGGCUUACCAAGGCAACGAUGCAUAGCCGACCUGAGAGGGUGAUAGGCCACACUGGAACUGAGACACGGUCCAGACUCCUACGGGAGGCAGCAGUAGGGAAUCUUCCGCAAUGGGCGAAAGCCUGACGGAACAACGCCGCGUGAGUGAUGAAGGUCUUCGGAUCGUAAAACUCUGUUAUUAGGGAAGAACAUAUGUGUAAGUAACUGUGCACAUCUUGACGGUACCUAAUCAGAAAGCCACGGCUAACUACGUG
This 497-nucleotide ribosomal RNA is filed under the name uncultured bacterium. Its description in RNAcentral is "partial 16S ribosomal RNA". It matches the Rfam family "Bacterial small subunit ribosomal RNA", at positions 28 to 507 of the family's 1533-position model. The record is from RNAcentral.